Molecule: ribosomal RNA, 253 nt
Filed under: uncultured bacterium
Lineage: Bacteria
Description: partial 16S ribosomal RNA
Rfam family: Bacterial small subunit ribosomal RNA
Source: RNAcentral
UACGAACUGUGCAAACGUUAUUCGGAAUCACUGGGCGUAAAGCGCGCGCAGGCGGUCUUCCAAGUCAGUGGUGAAAGCCCGGAGCUCAACUCCGGAACUGCCAUUGAAACUGUAAGACUUGAGGAUGAGAGAGGUGAGUGGAAUUCCCAGUGUAGAGGUGAAAUUCGUAGAUAUUGGGAAGAACACCGGUGGCGAAAGCGGCUCACUGGACCUCUUCUGACGCUGAGGCACGAAAGCUAGGGUAGCGAACAGG